AUUGAACGCUGGCGGCAUGCCUUACACAUGCAAGUCGAACGGUAACAGGUCUUCGGAUGCUGACGAGUGGCGAACGGGUGAGUAAUACAUCGGAACGUGCCCGAUCGUGGGGGAUAACGAAGCGAAAGCUUUGCUAAUACCGCAUAAGAUCUACGGAUGAAAGCAGGGGACCGCAAGGCCUUGCGCGAACGGAGCGGCCGAUGGCAGAUUAGGUAGGUGGUGGGAUAAAAGCUUACCAAGCCGACGAUCUGUAGCUGGGCGGAGAGGACGACCAGCCACGCUGGGAACGAGACACGACCCAGACUCCUACGGGAGGCAGCAGUGGGGAAUUUUGGACAAUGGGCGAAAGCCUGAUCCAGCCAUGCCGCGUGCAGGAUGAAGGCCUUCGGGUUGUAAACUGCUUUUGUACGGAACGAAAAGACUCUUUCUAAUAAAGAGGGUCCAUGACGGUACCGUAAGAAUAAGCACCGGCUAACUACGUGCCAGCAGCCGCCGCAG
RNAcentral lists this ribosomal RNA (498 nucleotides) under uncultured bacterium. RNAcentral's name for it is "partial 16S ribosomal RNA". It matches the Rfam family "Bacterial small subunit ribosomal RNA", at positions 29 to 523 of the family's 1533-position model. The record is from RNAcentral.